AAACCGCGAAAGGCUCAUUAAAUCAGUUAUGGUUCCUUAGAUCGUACCCACAAUUACUUGGAUAACUGUGGUAAUUCUAGAGCUAAUACAUGCAAACAGAGCUCCGACCGGAGACGGAAGGAGUGCUUUUAUUAGAUCAAAACCAAUCGGUGGCGGGUUCGCCCGUUAUCGUACAACUUGGUGACUCUGAAUAACUUUACGCUGAUCGCACGGUCAUCGCACCGGCGACGCAUCUUUCAAAUGUCUGCCUUAUCAACUGUCGAUGGUAGGUUCUGCGCCUACCAUGGUUGUAACGGGUAACGGGGAAUCAGGGUUCGAUUCCGGAGAGGGAGCCUGAGAAACGGCUACCACAUCCAAGGAAGGCAGCAGGCGCGCAAAUUACCCACUCCCGGCACGGGGAGGUAGUGACGAAAAAUAACGAUACGGGACUCAUCCGAGGCCCCGUAAUCGGAAUGAGUACACUCUAAACCCUUUAACGAGGAUCAAUUGGAGGGCAAGUCUGGUGCC
RNAcentral lists this ribosomal RNA (507 nucleotides) under Trigonopterus sp. 605 AR-2022a. Its description in RNAcentral is "SSU rRNA". It matches the Rfam family "Eukaryotic small subunit ribosomal RNA", at positions 84 to 568 of the family's 1831-position model. The record is from RNAcentral. Lineage: Eukaryota; Metazoa; Arthropoda; Insecta; Coleoptera; Curculionidae.